CAGUCGCCGCGGGAAUACAGAGGGUGCGAGUGUUAAUCGGAUUUACUGGGCGUAAAGCGUGCGUAGGCGGCUAAUUGAGUCGGAUGUGAAAUCCCCGAGCUUAACUUGGGAAUUGCAUUCGAUACUGGUUAGCUAGAGUGUGGGAGAGGAUGGUAGAAUUCCAGGUGUAGCGGUGAAAUGCGUAGAGAUCUGGAGGAAUACCGAUGGCGUAGGCAGCCAUCUGGCCUAACACUGACUCUGAGGUACGAAAGCAUGGGGAGCAAACAGGAUUAGAUACCCCCGUAGUCCCUGUCUCUUAUAC
RNAcentral lists this ribosomal RNA (301 nucleotides) under uncultured bacterium. RNAcentral's name for it is "partial 16S ribosomal RNA". It matches the Rfam family "Bacterial small subunit ribosomal RNA", at positions 509 to 807 of the family's 1533-position model. The record is from RNAcentral.